RNAcentral lists this long non-coding RNA (1193 nucleotides) under Struthio camelus australis. RNAcentral's name for it is "lncRNA (ENSSCUG00000002197.1)". The record is from RNAcentral. Lineage: Eukaryota; Metazoa; Chordata; Aves; Struthioniformes; Struthionidae.
GCGGCGGCCGUGUCCCCCGCCAGCCCAACAUACAGACUCUGGACCGGCCAGCCAAGAAGGGCCCCGUGCAGCUCCUGCAGCAGUCGGAGAUCCGGAGGAAGAGCGACCUGCUCCGAACUCUCACCUCGGGCUCCCGGGAGUCCAACUCCAGCAAGAAAAAGGCAGUGAAAGAAAAGCUUUCUAUUGAGGAGGAGUUAGAGAAAUGUAUCCAGGAUUUCCUCAAAAUCAAAAUCCCAGACAGGUUUCCAGAAAGGAAACAUCCCUGGCAAUCUGAACUGCUGCGAAAGUAUCACCUAUAGGAUCAGGGCAGGGAAACACGUAACCCUGUUACCACUUAGAGCAAGAUUCUAAGCGAUCUGAAAAUAAUUCGUAAUAAUAAUAAUUUGUUAGGUCACAAAAAAAAAAUCCAUCUCUAUAGUACUGCCUAAUUUGCCUAUUUCACUUUAACAUUUAUAGUCCUAGGGUAACAAUAUUUUUCCGGUUGUGGAAGCACAAUGACAAAUGCUUUUAUUUGUGGACUCUUACACAAGCUGAAUACCUGAAAGGCACAACACUAUCGACAACAGAAGCUACUCGAGCGCAGGAAGCGCUGUCUGAGGUGCCCUUCCUGCGAGGAGGUGACAGAUCCUGUCCUUGCAGCGAGCCCUGCAUAUGGUGCUCCACCGGGGCAGGGAGUUGGAUGCUACAGAAGCUGCACAAGCAUAUGGAAAGCAAAGCACUUCUGGAAGUUAAGUCUCAGAUGGUGCAGCAUGAUGCUGGUAGAAAGCAAUACGGCAGUUACAGCAUAUCCUACCAGACCAUUGCACUGGCCACCUACAGACGACAGCGUACUGCAAGGGACGCAGGCCAGGCGCUGUAACGCCUUCGCCAACAUCUCAGCGCUGCUUUAUACACUGUUUGGUGACAGCACGUCUCAGCCUUAGCACCUGCGAGGGGUCGCUGUGGGCUGUAAACUGUUACUGCAGCCCCCGGCGAGCCCCGGUCCACGCUGCCGGGCCCUUGCCUGCAGCCUCGGCGCUGGCGGAAAGGACAGAGCUGAAAACCUGCGCGGAAAUGGUUCUGCUGGAGUCGCACCAUGUUUUUAAACAAACCCGCGUCUGUCAGGCAGAAGGCGAGCGUGAGGCCGGCCACCGCGCGCCCACAUAAGCCAGGCGCCCGGCCGCCCGCCGCGCCUCCAAGGCACCGAACUAGAG